This 1311-nucleotide long non-coding RNA is filed under the name Dromaius novaehollandiae (emu). RNAcentral describes it as "lncRNA (ENSDNVG00000004493.1)". The record is from RNAcentral. Lineage: Eukaryota; Metazoa; Chordata; Aves; Casuariiformes; Dromaiidae.
CAGGAUAGUUCUACUUAAUUUUUUCUACRUCUUUUUCUCAAAGUCUCCCCCACCCCCCCACCACCACUGUGUCUGCAUUGUUUCUUACUCUCUGUCAUUGUUCCACCCUUGCUUGUAGGUGUUGGCCAGCAUGCAGAUGAGCAGAGCUGUCAGCUACAAGGUGGUUAGUGCCUCACAGUGGUCAGCAUGAGGAGGAACUGCAUCUCUUGAUUUGCUCUCUGGUGUCUGCUGAUCGAGGUUUGUUGGAGGAUGGGAUAUAUCUGUGACGUCUUUCUGCUAGAAACAUUGGGAACACAUGGCUGUGAGGUCAAUUCUGCCCUGACUGUAAUGAUGGCAGCUGCUUGGAGCUUUAGUUCUCAUUUCCAUCUGGGCCAAACGUGUGUGUCUUGCCAGUAGACUGCAUACGGUGGUGUAGAUGAGUCUUCAGUCCUGAGUGCCUGUGUCUCUGCCAUACAGGUUUGAUGGCUCAGUGAGAGCUUGCUCUGUGUGCGCUGCUGCAGUGCAAACGCAAAAGGCCAUAGCAGGUUGUUUGAAAUCUUCUUUUGGUAAUCCUUGAUAAACAAGUCUGUAUAAUUCUCAACAGUUUAAGUGAGAUUUUAUUUCUGUAUAUGCUUAUUAGCCAUGUGUAUAGUACAUUGAAAAUUAUCAUGUCCAUCAACCUACAUGUACAGUCAGGCCACUAAUUUCACCUUUCUGCAAUCCUAAACCCUCUUAAACGCUGGGUACUUCAAACUGUACUGCAAAAAAUUUCUUACUGCCCUCUUAACUUCUACUGGCAAAGAUUCCACAGCACACWUUAAAGUGUGAAUGCUUUAUAAUGCUUUUCAAGACUUUGAAGAUAGCUGUAUGGUCCUCUGUUUAAUACUCGGCUUUCUUUAAGUAGUUAUUUUGCAGAAGUAAACAUUCAUGGGGGAAAAAUCCAGCCCAAGAAGCUGAGGUAUCUCAUUUAAUGAAAAUGAAGAUUAGAGGCAGAAUUCUUAUUUAUUUAUUUCAGUUUAACUUUUGUAAUUCCACAAAGCUUUAUGGAAGAAAUGUAACGGCGAGAGUGGACAGUAUAAGCAGUUGUGUCUCAUAACUGAGACGUAAGUGGAAAUACUGUUCUAUAUUUUUGUAGGUAACUCAGAGCAGUUUUUUCCCCACCCUUUUCAGUUAUGGCUCUGGGAUAAUUUAAAAUGUUCCUGUGUGGAAAAGGAUGUGCUGAGUGAUGCUGACUGAACUGUUUUAUACUAGUACUUCAUUCAGUUUCCACUGAAGUAAGGGGAAUGGGAGGUGAAUUAAAUAUAGUUCGAUGUUUGCUGAUGGCUAGAAAAU